Molecule: non-coding RNA, 399 nt
Organism: Diceros bicornis minor
Lineage: Eukaryota; Metazoa; Chordata; Mammalia; Perissodactyla; Rhinocerotidae
Source: the annotation of a RefSeq genome assembly
AUGGGUUCAAGGGCUUCACUGCUGUGGAUCCUGCUGCUCUGGGUUCCAGGCUCCACUGGGGACAUUGUGCUGACUCAGUCUCCAGUUUCCUUGGUGGUGUCUUCAGGUCAGAGGGCUGCCAUAUCCUGCAGGGCCAGUCAGAGUGUCACUUCAGGCAGUUACAGCUUUAUUAACUGGUAUCAACAGAAACCAAGACAGCCUCCUAAACUCCUGAUCUAUGUACCAUCCAAUCGAGAGUCUGGAGUCCCAGCCAGGUUCUGUGGCAGUGGAUCUGGGACUUAUUUCUCCCUCACAAUUAAUCCUGUGGAGGCCGACGUUGCUGCAAACUAUUACUGCCAGCAGAGUAAGACAUUUGGGGAACAAUCAUCAAAACUUGAAAUGGACUUGAGGACUGGAUAG